GUGGGGAAUAUUGCGCAAUGGGGGAAACCCUGAUCCAGCGACGCCGCGUGAAGGAUGAAGGCCUUCGGGUUGUAAACUUCUUUUGGAGGGGACGAAUAAAUUGACGGUACCCUCAGAAAAAGCCACGGCUAACUACGUGCCAGCAGCCGCGGUAAUAAGUAGGUGGCGAGCUUUACUCGGAAUUACUAGUCGUAAAGCGUAUGUAGGCGGUUGUAUAAGUCUAUGGUGAAAUUUCCUGGAUCAACUGGGAAGGGACAUAGAUACUGUAUGUGUUGAGUGUUGGAGGGGGAGACGGAAUUCCUGGUGUAGCGGUGAAAUGCGUAGAUAUCAGGAGGAACACCGAUGGCGAAAGCAGUCUCCUGGCCAAAUACUGACGCUGAGGUACGAAAGCUAGGGUAGCAAACAGGAUUAGAAACCCCUGUAGUCC
This 427-nucleotide ribosomal RNA is filed under the name uncultured bacterium. RNAcentral describes it as "partial 16S ribosomal RNA". It matches the Rfam family "Bacterial small subunit ribosomal RNA", at positions 354 to 796 of the family's 1533-position model. The record is from RNAcentral.